CCUGCCCUGGCUCAUGACAACCACUCAGAGUCUGUAGUGUACAGAUACUGUAAAUAAUAACACAUGUAUGAAUAUCUCCUGUUGUCUUAUCUAUGAAGUCUGUAAAGGUUGUGUGCAGGGUAAGACCCUGCAGGUCCUCGGUGCCCAUAACAACCCAUUACCAUGGUGCCUAUUGAGCAAGCUCUACAAGCUGGGACUGGCCUAGUGAUCUGACCUAAACUAAAAGCAAUGGUCCACAUGGUUUCUCCCACUUACAGAAGCCCACAGAGAUGCCUAGAGGAGAGAAGUGAGGAGACAGCAGUGAUCCUGGUCCACACAGUGCAGGCUCCCUCGAGUGGCACCACCUCCUGCUGGACUGGGGGGCAGAAGGAGGGCGUGACACCUCCACUUCUCAGCGGUAGAAGCAAGCAGAGAAGAGAGAGAUGGAGGCUGUUCUAUACACAGAUAGAACCAGACAGUCCUCACGUGAAGGAAGUGAACCCAUUCCUAAAAUACGGUCACCUCAUCUUCUUAAAGGAACAGUGUACACGUUAAGGAAGGUUAAAGGAGAGGAACAGAAACCCACCUUCCGGGAACCUUUGCGUUUCUCCUCCAGAAAUUGAUCCUGUUCUCGGUGGCCAUACUCGGAUAACACGACCCCCUUCAG
Molecule: long non-coding RNA, 646 nt
Organism: Cyclopterus lumpus (lumpfish)
Lineage: Eukaryota; Metazoa; Chordata; Actinopteri; Perciformes; Cyclopteridae
Exons: 3
Source: RefSeq, a predicted model, not a curated record